This 268-nucleotide ribosomal RNA is filed under the name uncultured bacterium. RNAcentral's name for it is "partial 16S ribosomal RNA". It matches the Rfam family "Bacterial small subunit ribosomal RNA", at positions 87 to 353 of the family's 1533-position model. The record is from RNAcentral.
GAUGGCGACCGGCGCACGGGUGAGUAACACGUAUCCAACCUGCCGAUGACUCGGGGAUAGCCUUUCGAAAGAAAGAUUAAUAUCCGAUAGCAUAUAUUUCCCGCAUGGGUUUUAUAUUAAAGAAAUUCGGUAUGAGAUGGGGAUGCGUUCCAUUAGUUUGUUGGGGGGGUAACGGGCCCACCAAGACUACGAUGGAUAGGGGUUCUGAGAGGAAGGUCCCCCACAUUGGAACUGAGACACGGCCCAGACUCCUACGGGAGGCAGCAUG